Molecule: ribosomal RNA, 468 nt
Filed under: uncultured bacterium
Lineage: Bacteria
Description: partial 16S ribosomal RNA
Rfam family: Bacterial small subunit ribosomal RNA
Source: RNAcentral
GACGAACGCUGGCGGCGUGCUUAACACAUGCAAGUCGAACGGAAAGGCCCUGCUUUUGUGGGGUGCUCGAGUGGCGAACGGGUGAGUAACACGUGAGUAACCUGCCCUUGACUUUGGGAUAACUUCAGGAAACUGGGGCUAAUACCCGAUAGGAGCUCCUGCUGCAUGGUGGGGGUUGGAAAGUUUCGGCGGUUGGGGAUGGACUCGCGGCUUAUCAGCUUGUUGGUGGGGUAGUGGCUUACCAAGGCUUUGACGGGUAGCCGGCCUGAGAGGGUGACCGGCCACAUUGGGACUGAGAUACGGCCCAGACUCCUACGGGAGGCAGCAGUGGGGAAUAUUGCACAAUGGGCGGAAGCCUGAUGCAGCAACGCCGCGUGCGGGAUGACGGCCUUCGGGUUGUAAACUGCUUUCGCCUGUGACGAAGCGUGAGUGACGGUAAUGGGUAAAGAAGCACCGGCUAACUACGUG